Long non-coding RNA from Zingiber officinale, 305 nucleotides. RefSeq lists it as uncharacterized. The record is from RefSeq and is a predicted model, not a curated record. Lineage: Eukaryota; Viridiplantae; Streptophyta; Magnoliopsida; Zingiberales; Zingiberaceae. The transcript has 2 exons.
AGGGCGUGGAUGCCUACCUCGAGGGACGCUACCAAGCGGUCAGAAUUGGGAACCAGUUCGCCGGCUGGCGCUACGUUGCGCAGAGGAAGCUAGGCUGGGGGCAUUUCUCCACCGUCUGGCUCGCCUAUGACACCCGAUCGCAGGAUUGGAUGGUGACCUCAAGAGGACCCGAAGAUCCAAAUUCUGGCCGCCACUAGACAAGCUACUAGUUGAGAAAUACAAGUUUCCUGAGGCUGAUGCCUGCAAGUUUACUGAGUUCCUGUACCCCCUACUUGACAUUGCUUCAGAAAAUCGGCCAACCGCAG